UGGGGAAUCUUGGACAAUGGGCGCAAGCCUGAUCCAGCCAUGCCGCGUGAGUGAAGAAGGCCUUAGGGUUGUAAAGCUCUUUUACCAGGGACGAUAAUGACGGUACCUGGAGAAUAAGCCCCGGCAAACUUCGUGCCAGCAGCCGCGGUAAUACGAAGGGGGCUAGCGUUGUUCGGAAUUACUGGGCGUAAAGCGCACGUAGGCGGGUCGUUAAGUCAGGGGUGAAAUCCCGGAGCUCAACUCCGGAACUGCCUUUGAUACUGGCGAUCUAGAGGUCGAGAGAGGUGAGUGGAAUUCCGAGUGUAGAGGUGAAAUUCGUAGAUAUUCGGAAGAACACCAGUGGCGAAGGCGGCUAACUGGUCCGGUACUGACGCUGAGGUGCGAAAGCGUGGGGAGCAAACAGGAUUAGAUACCCAAGUAGUCCCUGAGCGGGCUGGCAAGGCGCAU
RNAcentral lists this ribosomal RNA (447 nucleotides) under uncultured bacterium. RNAcentral describes it as "bacterial SSU rRNA". It matches the Rfam family "Bacterial small subunit ribosomal RNA", at positions 355 to 825 of the family's 1533-position model. The record is from RNAcentral.